RNAcentral lists this ribosomal RNA (465 nucleotides) under Vreelandella stevensii. Its description in RNAcentral is "partial 16S ribosomal RNA". It matches the Rfam family "Bacterial small subunit ribosomal RNA", at positions 338 to 795 of the family's 1533-position model. Lineage: Bacteria; Pseudomonadati; Pseudomonadota; Gammaproteobacteria; Oceanospirillales; Halomonadaceae. The record is from RNAcentral.
CCUACGGGGGGCAGCAGUGGGGAAUAUCGGACAAUGGGGGGAACCCUGAUCCAGCCAUGCCGCGUGUGUGAAGAAGGCCCUCGGGUUGUAAAGCACUUUCAGUGAGGAAGAACGCCUGGUGGUUAAUACCCAUCAGGAAAGACAUCACUCACAGAAGAAGCACCGGCUAACUCCGUGCCAGCAGCCGCGGUAAUACGGAGGGUGCGAGCGUUAAUCGGAAUUACUGGGCGUAAAGCGCGCGUAGGUGGCUUGAUAAGCCGGUUGUGAAAGCCCCGGGCUCAACCUGGGAACGGCAUCCGGAACUGUCAAGCUAGAGUGCAGGAGAGGAAGGUAGAAUUCCCGGUGUAGCGGUGAAAUGCGUAGAGAUCGGGAGGAAUACCAGUGGCGAAGGCGGCCUUCUGGACUGACACUGACACUGAGGUGCGAAAGCGUGGGUAGCAAACAGGAUUAGAUACCCCUGUAGUC